Molecule: unclassified non-coding RNA, 336 nt
Filed under: soil metagenome
Description: partial contains 5.8S ribosomal RNA, internal transcribed spacer 2, and large subunit ribosomal RNA
Rfam family: 5.8S ribosomal RNA (bases 1-120)
Source: RNAcentral
GAUGAAGAACGUAGCAAAAUGCGAUAAGUAAUGUGAAUUGCAGAAUUCCGUGAAUCAUCGAAUCUUUGAACGCACAUUGCGCCCCUUGGUAUUCCAUGGGGCAUGCCUGUUCGAGCGUCAUUUGUACCUUCAAGCUUUGCUUGGUGUUGGGUGUUUGUCUCGCCUUUGCGUGUAGACUCGCCUUAAAAUAAUUGGCAGCCGGCGUAUUGAUUUCGGAGCGCAGUACAUCUCGCGCUUUGCACUCAUAACGACAGCGUCCAAAAGUACAUUUUACACUCUUGACCUCGGAUCAGGUAGGGAUACCCGCUGAACUUAAGCAUAUCAAUAAGCGGAGGA